RNAcentral lists this ribosomal RNA (490 nucleotides) under uncultured bacterium. RNAcentral describes it as "partial 16S ribosomal RNA". It matches the Rfam family "Bacterial small subunit ribosomal RNA", at positions 30 to 507 of the family's 1533-position model. The record is from RNAcentral.
AUUGAACGCUGGCGGCAGGCCUAACACAUGCAAGUCGAACGGUAACAGGAAGCAGCUUGCUGCUUCGCUGACGAGUGGCGGACGGGUGAGUAAUGUCUGGGAAGCUGCCUGUUGGAGGGGGAUAACUACUGGAAACGGUAGCUAAUACCGCAUAAUGUCGCAAGACCAAAGAGGGGGACCUUCGGGCCUCUUGCCAUCGGAUGUGCCCAGAUGGGAUUAGCUUGUUGGUGGGGUAACGGCUCACCAAGGCGACGAUCCCUAGCUGGUCUGAGAGGAUGACCAGCCACACUGGAACUGAGACACGGUCCAGACUCCUACGGGAGGCAGCAGUGGGGAAUAUUGCACAAUGGGCGCAAGCCUGAUGCAGCCAUGCCGCGUGUAUGAAGAAGGCCUUCGGGUUGUAAAGUACUUUCAGCGGGGAGGAAGGGAGUAAAGUUAAUACCUUGGCUCAUUGACGUUACCCGCAGAAGAAGCACCGGCUAACUCCGUG